This is a long non-coding RNA of Centrocercus urophasianus (Greater sage-grouse), 391 nucleotides long. RefSeq lists it as uncharacterized. The record is from RefSeq and is a predicted model, not a curated record. The transcript is spliced from 3 exons. NCBI's taxonomy places the organism in Eukaryota, Metazoa, Chordata, Aves, Galliformes, Phasianidae.
UUCAUUUAUUAUGGGGAAUCUCUAACGUACAACUUCAUUUUCAUUACAGGUAUGUGCUCAGAAAAAUUCCACAUGACCAUGGGGGAAAAAAAACAGAGACCUGUUUUUAAGACACUGGUUGAUCAAAUCAUGAAACAUGGUUGCUCUUACCAGUGCUUCCUAUAAUAGCUAGCAUCUGACCACUGUGAACCUUUAAAUUCAAGUUCUGGAUUAUUGUCACGUGAGAAUCAGGACCUGAGUUCCAGGGCAAUAGCAAUUGCAUCUGCGUGAGUUUCUCAUACCACGGAAUCUGGGAUGCCAGGUUAACCUAACAAAGAAUAAAAGCAAACAAUAAACUACUUCACGAAGAAAUGGGUGACUGUUGGAGUGUUAAUGUCUACUGGAUCAAAAU